Molecule: ribosomal RNA, 765 nt
Filed under: uncultured Bacilli bacterium
Lineage: Bacteria; Bacillati; Bacillota; Bacilli
Description: bacterial SSU rRNA
Rfam family: Bacterial small subunit ribosomal RNA
Source: RNAcentral
GACGAACGCUGGCGGCGUGCCUAAUACAUGCAAGUCGAACGCUUCUUUUUCCACCGGAGCUUGCUCCACCGGAAAAAGAGGAGUGGCGAACGGGUGAGUAACACGUGGGUAACCUGCCCAUCAGAAGGGGAUAACACUUGGAAACAGGUGCUAAUACCGUAUAACAAUCGAAACCGCAUGGUUUUGAUUUGAAAGGCGCUUUCGGGUGUCGCUGAUGGAUGGGCCCGCGGUGCAUUAGCUAGUUGGUGAGGUAACGGCUCACCAAGGCCACGAUGCAUAGCCGACCUGAGAGGGUGAUCGGCCACAUUGGGACUGAGACACGGCCCAAACUCCUACGGGAGGCAGCAGUAGGGAAUCUUCGGCAAUGGACGAAAGUCUGACCGAGCAACGCCGCGUGAGUGAAGAAGGUUUUCGGAUCGUAAAACUCUGUUGUUAGAGAAGAACAAGGAUGAGAGUAACUGUUCAUCCCUUGACGGUAUCUAACCAGAAAGCCACGGCUAACUACGUGCCAGCAGCCGCGGUAAUACGUAGGUGGCAAGCGUUGUCCGGAUUUAUUGGGCGUAAAGCGAGCGCAGGCGGUUUCUUAAGUCUGAUGUGAAAGCCCCCGGCUCAACCGGGGAGGGUCAUUGGAAACUGGGAGACUUGAGUGCAGAAGAGGAGAGUGGAAUUCCAUGUGUAGCGGUGAAAUGCGUAGAUAUAUGGAGGAACACCAGUGGCGAAGGCGGCUCUCUGGUCUGUAACUGACGCUGAGGCUCGAAAGCGUGG